This 427-nucleotide ribosomal RNA is filed under the name uncultured Lysobacteraceae bacterium. RNAcentral describes it as "bacterial SSU rRNA". It matches the Rfam family "Bacterial small subunit ribosomal RNA", at positions 353 to 772 of the family's 1533-position model. Lineage: Bacteria; Pseudomonadati; Pseudomonadota; Gammaproteobacteria; Lysobacterales; Lysobacteraceae. The record is from RNAcentral.
AGUGGGGAAUAUUGGACAAUGGGCGCAAGCCUGAUCCAGCCAUGCCGCGUGAGUGAAGAAGGCCUUCGGGUUGUAAAGCUCUUUUGUCCGGAAAGAAAAGCCUUCGGUUAAUACCCGGGGGUGAUGACGGUACCGGAAGAAUAAGCACCGGCUAACUUCGUGCCAGCAGCCGCGGUAAUACGAAGGGUGCAAGCGUUACUCGGAAUUACUGGGCGUAAAGCGUGCGUAGGUGGUUCGUUAAGUCUGAUGUGAAAGCCCUGGGCUCAACCUGGGAAUGGCAUUGGAAACUGGCGACCUAGAGUGCGGUAGAGGGUAGUGGAAUUCCCGGUGUAGCAGUGAAAUGCGUAGAGAUCGGGAGGAACAUCUGUGGCGAAGGCGACUGCCUGGACCAGCACUGACACUGAGGCACGAAAGCGUGGGGAGCAAA